AUGAACGCUGGCGGCGUGCCUAAUACAUGCAAGUCGAGCGAACAGACGAGGAGCUUGCUCCUCUGACGUUAGCGGCGGACGGGUGAGUAACACGUGGAUAACCUACCUAUAAGACUGGGAUAACUUCGGGAAACCGGAGCUAAUACCGGAUAAUAUAUUGAACCGCAUGGUUCAAUAGUGAAAGACGGUUUUGCUGUCACUUAUAGAUGGAUCCGCGCCGCAUUAGCUAGUUGGUAAGGUAACGGCUUACCAAGGCAACGAUGCGUAGCCGACCUGAGAGGGUGAUCGGCCACACUGGAACUGAGACACGGUCCAGACUCCUACGGGAGGCAGCAGUAGGGAAUCUUCCGCAAUGGGCGAAAGCUUGACGGAGCAACGCCGCGUGAGUGAUGAAAGUCUUCGGAUCGUAAAACUCUGUUAUUAGGGAAGAACAAAUGUGUAAGUAACUAUGCACGUCUUGACGGUACCUAAUCAGAAAGCCACGGCUAACUACGUG
Molecule: ribosomal RNA, 496 nt
Filed under: uncultured bacterium
Lineage: Bacteria
Description: partial 16S ribosomal RNA
Rfam family: Bacterial small subunit ribosomal RNA
Source: RNAcentral